CAUUCACGGAGAGUUUGAUCCUGGCUCAGGACGAACGCUGGCGGCGUGCUUAACACAUGCAAGUCGAACGGUGAAGCCUUUCGGGGUGGAUCAGUGGCGAACGGGUGAGUAACACGUGGGCAAUCUGCCCUGCACUCUGGGACAAGCCCUGGAAACGGGGUCUAAUACCGGAUAUUACCUGAGGGGG
This 187-nucleotide ribosomal RNA is filed under the name Actinacidiphila yanglinensis. Its description in RNAcentral is "Streptomyces yanglinensis 16S rRNA. Bacterial SSU". It matches the Rfam family "Bacterial small subunit ribosomal RNA", at positions 1 to 188 of the family's 1533-position model. Lineage: Bacteria; Bacillati; Actinomycetota; Actinomycetes; Kitasatosporales; Streptomycetaceae. The record is from RNAcentral.